RNAcentral lists this ribosomal RNA (543 nucleotides) under uncultured bacterium. RNAcentral's name for it is "bacterial SSU rRNA". It matches the Rfam family "Bacterial small subunit ribosomal RNA", at positions 355 to 911 of the family's 1533-position model. The record is from RNAcentral.
UGGGGAAUAUUAGGCAAUGGGGGAAACCCUGACCUAGCCAUGCCGCGUGCGUGAAGAAGGUCUUAGGAUUGUAAAGCGCUUUCAGCGGGGGAAGAUGAUGACGGUACCCGCAGAAGAAGCCCCGGCUAACUCCGUGCCAGCAGCCGCGGUAAUACGGAGGGGGUUAGCGUUGUUCGGAAUUACUGGGCGUAAAGCGCACGUAGGCGGACCAGAAAGUUGGGGGGUGAAAUCCCGGGGGCUCAACCCCGGAACUGCCUCCAAAACUAUUGGUCUAGAGUUCGAGAGAGGUGAGUGGAAUUCCAAGUGUAGAGGUGAAAUUCGUAGAUAUUUGGAGGAACACCAGUGGCGAAGGCGGCUCACUGGCUCGAUACUGACGCUGAGGUGCGAAAGUGUGGGGAGCAAACAGGAUUAGAUACCCUGGUAGUCCACACCGUAAAACGAUGAAUGCCAGUCGUCGGGUAGCAUGCUAUUCGGUGACACACCUAACGGAUUAAGCAUUCCGCCUGGGGAGUACGGUCGCAAGAUUAAAACUCAAAAUGAAUU